This 250-nucleotide ribosomal RNA is filed under the name uncultured prokaryote. RNAcentral's name for it is "partial 16S ribosomal RNA". It matches the Rfam family "Bacterial small subunit ribosomal RNA", at positions 524 to 773 of the family's 1533-position model. The record is from RNAcentral.
UACGUAGGGGGCAAGCGUUAUCCGGAUUUACUGGGUGUAAAGGGAGCGUAGACGGCGAUGCAAGUCAGAUGUGAAAGCCUGGGGCUCAACUCCGGAACUGCAUUUGAAACUGUAUUGCUGGAGUGCCGGAGAGGUAAGCGGAAUUCCUAGUGUAGCGGUGAAAUGCGUAGAUAUUAGGAAGAACACCAGUGGCGAAGGCGGCUUACUGGACGGUAACUGACGUUGAGGCUCGAAAGCGUGGGGAGCAAAC